This 714-nucleotide ribosomal RNA is filed under the name Paenibacillus peoriae. RNAcentral's name for it is "bacterial SSU rRNA". It matches the Rfam family "Bacterial small subunit ribosomal RNA", at positions 60 to 754 of the family's 1533-position model. Lineage: Bacteria; Bacillati; Bacillota; Bacilli; Caryophanales; Paenibacillaceae. The record is from RNAcentral.
AGUCGAGCGGGGUUGAUUAGAAGCUUGCUUCUAAACAACCUAGCGGCGGACGGGUGAGUAACACGUAGGCAACCUGCCCACAAGACAGGGAUAACUACCGGAAACGGUAGCUAAUACCCGAUACAUCCUUUUCCUGCAUGGGAGAAGGAGGAAAGACGGAGCAAUCUGUCACUUGUGGAUGGGCCUGCGGCGCAUUAGCUAGUUGGUGGGGUAAAGGCCUACCAAGGCGACGAUGCGUAGCCGACCUGAGAGGGUGAUCGGCCACACUGGGACUGAGACACGGCCCAGACUCCUACGGGAGGCAGCAGUAGGGAAUCUUCCGCAAUGGGCGAAAGCCUGACGGAGCAACGCCGCGUGAGUGAUGAAGGUUUUCGGAUCGUAAAGCUCUGUUGCCAGGGAAGAACGUCUUGUAGAGUAACUGCUACAAGAGUGACGGUACCUGAGAAGAAAGCCCCGGCUAACUACGUGCCAGCAGCCGCGGUAAUACGUAGGGGGCAAGCGUUGUCCGGAAUUAUUGGGCGUAAAGCGCGCGCAGGCGGCUCUUUAAGUCUGGUGUUUAAUCCCGAGGCUCAACUUCGGGUCGCACUGGAAACUGGGGAGCUUGAGUGCAGAAGAGGAGAGUGGAAUUCCACGUGUAGCGGUGAAAUGCGUAGAUAUGUGGAGGAACACCAGUGGCGAAGGCGACUCUCUGGGCUGUAACUGACGCUGAGGCGC